Molecule: RNA transcript, 1051 nt
Organism: Lolium perenne
Lineage: Eukaryota; Viridiplantae; Streptophyta; Magnoliopsida; Poales; Poaceae
Source: RefSeq, a predicted model, not a curated record
GGCCAUCGGUUCAUCAAAGUGGACGCUGGUAAAGUAGGCCGUGGACCAUCCUUCUCUCCCUCUCCUGGUGGCUUUCUUCCUCCAUGAGCGGCGGUGCCGCCGUCCUUGUCUCCAGGGGAUUCUUGUCGCUGCCACCCCCUCACCCAUCCCAGUCACCUGACGAGCGCCGCUGCCCAAGUCACCACCGCCCCCACAGUCACGGCCGCCCCUCCUCAUCAGGGAGAUCCUGGCCAAGCUCGCCGGACGGCCACGCCUCCCAGGUCGUCGUUCCACGACCUCCGCAAGGUCCUCUCAAUUUUCGUUCCCCGCGCGUCCACCGUCCUCGUUUUACCCCAUGAGUUGCUCCCCAACGCCCUCUUCCCCGUCCGCGCUGCUCCGCCGCCGCCGGGAACGUUCGCGCGUCUCCCAGCUCAUCUGCGCUACUCCACCGCCGCCGGGGACGUCCGUAUGCCCAGCUCGUCUGCGGUGCUCCGCCGCCGCCGGGGACGUCCGCGCGUAUUCCAGCUCCAAGGCCGCUGUCGUCCACGCUAGUGACGCCUUCUCGGUACGACUUGAUUUGCAUACUCUCUCGUGCAGACUGAACUGAGAACCAUUUCCUAUUUGCAGGCUUUGAGGCGCCAAACUUGAGUAUGUAAUUGGCAGAUCAGAUGAGGACUUGAAAACACCCUUUGGCAUUGAAAUUCUGGACAAACUAACUCAGACUUGGGUUGUGCCAACAGUAGUUGGGGCUUAGCCUCCAUCCAAGUUGCACGAAGCAAUUCUUGUAAAGGAUGAGAAGAUAUUGGUUGUUGAGAACUGGACAAAAUCCUACAGAAAAAAGAUUGAGGAACCGGCUGUCUUGCAUUUUGCUUGCACUGAAACUGGAGUAGCAAUUUCUGCUCACCCAUUUGUCUUUCCCUUUCCCGCUAGUUGAAUGUAUCAUUUUGUUGUGUGAAUGUUGUGGAGCAGCAAAUAUUCUCAUCAACAUUCUAUGAGGAAACAUCGCAAUGUAACUGAGAUUCCGUAUUGUAUUUUAUUUCAUUGUUUGGAAAUGGGAAAGCUGCAUUGCAUC